CACACUAUCAUUAACUGAAUCCAUAGGUUAAUGAGGCGAACCGGGGGAACUGAAACAUCUAAGUACCCCGAGGAAAAGAAAUCAACCGAGAUUCCCCCAGUAGCGGCGAGCGAACGGGGAGGAGCCCAGAGCCUGAAUCAGUGUGUGUGUUAGUGGAAGCGUCUGGAAAGGCGCGCGAUACAGGGUGACAGCCCCGUACACAAAAAUGCACAUACUGUGAGCUCGAUGAGUAGGGCGGGACACGUGGUA
Molecule: ribosomal RNA, 249 nt
Filed under: Escherichia coli
Lineage: Bacteria; Pseudomonadati; Pseudomonadota; Gammaproteobacteria; Enterobacterales; Enterobacteriaceae
Also listed under: 1 other name
Description: partial 23S ribosomal RNA
Rfam family: Bacterial large subunit ribosomal RNA
Source: RNAcentral